UCCCAUUACUUCCACCUCCCAUGAGGACUGCACCUGCGGCAGCGAUUUUAUGUGAACUUGGAUUACUGUAUGGAAAUGGAGAAUUAUAAUGUAGCACCUUCAACAGAAAGACAAUCAAAGGUAUACAUCCUGACAGGUUCAGACCCCUGAAGGAUCUGUUAGACAAUGUCCAACACUCCAGUGAAAGAAAAUACAGAGUGAGAAAGUGUGGGAAUCAUAAAAGAAGGCAGAACCAAAAGACAGAGGGAUCUUGGGCCAUGAGUCACAGCAAGGAAAGCCUCCCACCAAACAUCUGCACUGGACUCCUACAGGAACAAGAAAUGAACUAUCGUGUUCAGCCCCUGAGACUUGGGCUUAACAUGAUUUUCACAUUGUCUACCCUACCUAAUAGAGCAGAGAUGUAAAUAUUAUUCUUAUUUUAGAGGUGUGAUGCCUCAGCUGCAAUGGGUGAGAACUACUCCUCAUUUAUUCUCUUCCAAGGCAAUAAAAGAGAAUGGACCAAAGACAGUCUGUCAUCACAUCUAGUCAAAAGAGCUAAUGUCGCAGUACAACUCUUCAAAAGAAAAAGAAAAAACAAGAAAAAAGUAAUAAACAGAUGUGUUCUGCUUGA
Homo sapiens (human) is the source of this 610-nucleotide long non-coding RNA. NCBI's taxonomy places the organism in Eukaryota, Metazoa, Chordata, Mammalia, Primates, Hominidae. The record is from Ensembl.